RNAcentral lists this ribosomal RNA (497 nucleotides) under uncultured bacterium. RNAcentral's name for it is "partial 16S ribosomal RNA". It matches the Rfam family "Bacterial small subunit ribosomal RNA", at positions 28 to 507 of the family's 1533-position model. The record is from RNAcentral.
GACGAACGCUGGCGGCGUGCCUAAUACAUGCAAGUUGAGCGAUGAAGCUUGGUGCUUGCACCAAUUUGAAGAGCAGCGAACGGGUGAGUAACGCGUGGGGAAUCUGCCUUUGAGCGGGGGACAACAUUUGGAAACGAAUGCUAAUACCGCAUAACAACUUUAAACAUAAGUUUUAAGUUUGAAAGAUGCAAUUGCAUCACUCAAAGAUGAUCCCGCGUUGUAUUAGCUAGUUGGUGAGGUAAAGGCUCACCAAGGCGAUGAUACAUAGCCGACCUGAGAGGGUGAUCGGCCACAUUGGGACUGAGACACGGCCCAAACGCCUACGGGAGGCAGCAGUAGGGAAUCUUCGGCAAUGGACGAAAGUCUGACCGAGCAACGCCGCGUGAGGGAAGAAGGUUGUCGGAUCGUAAAACUCUGUUGGUAGAGAAGAACGUUGGUGAGAGUGGAAAGCUCAUCAAGUGACGGUAACUACCCAGAAAGGGACGGCUAACUACGUG